GCGGAAGGAUCAUUAGUGAACAUAGGACGUCCAACUUAACUUGGAGUCCGAACUCUCACUUUCUAACCCUGUGCAUUUGUUUGGGGUAGUAGCCUUUCGAGGCGAAUCCCUAUUCACUUAUAAACACAAAGUCUAUGAAUGUAUUUAAUUUUAUAACAAAAUAAAACUUUCAACAACGGAUCUCUUGGCUCUCGCAUCGAUGAAGAACGCAGCGAAAUGCGAUAAGUAAUGUGAAUUGCAGAAUUCAGUGAAUCAUCGAAUCUUUGAACGCACCUUGCGCUCCAUGGUAUUCCGUGGAGCAUGCCUGUUUGAGUGUCAUGAAUACUUCAACCCUCCUCUUUCUUUAUGAUCGAAGAGGUGUUUGGAUUCUGAGCGUUUUGCUGGCCUCGCGGUCGAGCUCGCUCGUAAUGCAUUAGCAUCCGCAAUCGAACUUCGGAUUGACUUGGCGUAAUAGACUAUUCGCUGAGGAAUUCUAGUCUUCGGACUAGAGCCGGGUUGGAUUAAAGGAAGCUCCUAAUCCUAAUGUCUAUUUUUAAGAUUAGAUCUCAAAUCAGGUAGGACUACCCGCUGAACUUAAGCAUAU
RNAcentral lists this ribosomal RNA (583 nucleotides) under Rhodotorula sp. CBS 10224. RNAcentral describes it as "eukaryotic LSU rRNA". The stretch from base 165 to 318 matches the Rfam family "5.8S ribosomal RNA". The record is from RNAcentral. Lineage: Eukaryota; Fungi; Basidiomycota; Microbotryomycetes; Sporidiobolales; Sporidiobolaceae.